CUCCUACGGGGGGCAGCAGUGGGGGAUAUUGCACAAUGGGGGAAACCCUGAUGCAGCGACGCCGCGUGAGUGAAGAAGUAUUUCGGUAUGUAAAGCUCUAUCGGCAGGGAAGAAAAAAAUGACAGUACCUGACUAAGAAGCCCCGGCUAAAUACGUGCCAGCAGCCGCGGUAAUACGUAGGGGGCAAGCGUUAUCCGGAUUUACUGGGUGUAAAGGGAGAGGAGGCGGCCACGCAAGACAGAAGGGAAAACCCGGGGCUCAAACCUGGGGGGGG
Molecule: ribosomal RNA, 274 nt
Filed under: uncultured bacterium
Lineage: Bacteria
Description: partial 16S ribosomal RNA
Rfam family: Bacterial small subunit ribosomal RNA
Source: RNAcentral